This 1780-nucleotide long non-coding RNA is filed under the name Homo sapiens (human). RNAcentral's name for it is "HSALNT0033841". Lineage: Eukaryota; Metazoa; Chordata; Mammalia; Primates; Hominidae. The record is from RNAcentral.
AAACAAUGAGAACAGUGCUAGCAGAGAAGCACUACCUGUGAAUCUGCUAUUACUCAAAGAAGAACUAUUCAAACCAUUGCUAGCAUCAGAUAUUAGGAUUUUAAGUAAAUGUUCACUAAUUUGGUAGUGGAAAUGAUGUUCUAAUGUGGCUCUUUGAUUACCAACAAGGGUUAAACAUUUAAUUAUCAGUGGUUUUGUCUUCUAGGAAUUCUUUUACUCACAUGGUUCUUUGAGGGCCUUAAUGUGUUUCUUACUGAUCUGUAAAACUUAUUAGCAUAGUGACCCUUUAUGUAUGUUAUAUUUGUUGUCAAUAUUUUCCUCAGUUUGCCUUUUGACUUUUUAGAAUAUAGAGUAGCUAAGCAAUAACUGUUGCUUGAAUCAGUGUUGUCUUACUGAGCCAUCCACAUUCUCAUCCCUUCUCAACAGGAAUGACCCCAAGUUUAUCAGAAGGCUCCUGUGGCUCCAGGGUCAACUCUGGGCAUAUCUGACUACAUCACUCCACCCCUACCAUGGUCUCUCCUCUGUACCCCAGCGUUCCAGGACAUCAUCAAGAAAGUGAACAGACAACACACACACAGAAUGAGAGAAAAUAUUUGCAAAUCAUUGGUAAAGGACUGGAAUUGGUAUGUCAAAUAUGUGAACAAGUCUUACAACUCAAUAAUAGAAUGACAACCCAACUUUAAAAUGGGCAAAGGAUGUGAAUAGAUAUUUCUCCAAAGAAGAUAUACAAAUGAUCAAUAAACAUGGGAAAAGACAGCCAACAUCAUUCAUUGUUAGGAAAAUGAAAAUCAAAACCACAAUGAGAUACCACUUUGUACCCACUAAUAUGGCUAUAAUAAAAAGGACAGAUAAUAAGCGUUGCUGAGGAUGUGGAGAAAUUGGAAACCUCAUCCACUGCUUGGGGAAAUGGAAAAUGGUGCACCCACUUUGGAAAGCAGCUGGCUGUUCUUCAAAACAUUAAACUGAGUUACCAUCCAACCCAGCAAUUCCACUGCUAGUUAUCUACCUGAGAGAAAUGAAAACAUGUCCUCAUAACAACUUUCACAGGAAUGUUCAUAGUAGCAUUAUGCAUAAUAGCAAAGAAGUGGAAACAACUCAUAUGUCCAUAAACUGCUGGAUAAACAAAAGGUGGUAUAUCCAUUCUGUGAAAUAUUAUUUGGUAAUAAAAAGAAAUGAAGUACUGAUGCAUGCAUGGAUGAACCUUGAAAAUAUUUUGCUAAGAAGCCAGUCACAAAAGACCACAUAUUGUAUGUUUCCAUUUAUAUGAAAUAAAACAGACACAUCCAUGGACAGAAAGUAGGUUAGUAGUUGCCUAGGGCUGAGGAGUGAAUGGAUUGUGGGGAGGUGUUGAGAGGUGAAAGCUAAGGGUGUAGGGUUUCUUUUCGUGGUAAUGACAGUGUUCUAAAAUUGAUUGUGGCCAUGGAUGCACAACUCUGUGACUAUACCAAAAACUUAACUCUUACAAUUAUAAAUAAAUUGUAUGGUAUGGGAAUUAUAUUUCAAUGAAAUUGUUAUUAAAAACAACUCUUUGCCCAGCGGACACCCAAACCUUUCCCCAGCGGACACCCAAACCUUUCCCCAAGAUGGCUGUAAAUUAUCUUGGGGUGGGAAUGGGGAGGUCCUCCUUUGGUCCUAGCUCUUGAUCCAAUAAUUCUGACGUCAUCUACAACACGUUUACCUAGAAAUGAAACUCAGCUCUUUGCUGAAGUUCUAUCCUCCCAAACCACCCUUCUUUCCCUUCCUAGGAAGCAUUCAUGAUUUCACUGUAGAUGGGGCAGGG